CAACCCUCAAGCUCUGCUUGGUAUUGGGUGUUACCUUUUGUCUGGUACAUCUUAAAAUCAGUGGCGGUGCCAUUCAGCUUCAAGCACAGUAAUACUUCUUGCUUUGGAGGUUGGGUGUUUGCUUGCCAGCAAGUCCUUAUUAUCAAA
This 147-nucleotide unclassified non-coding RNA is filed under the name uncultured Leotiomycetes. RNAcentral's name for it is "sequence contains ITS2". Lineage: Eukaryota; Fungi; Ascomycota; Leotiomycetes. The record is from RNAcentral.